Molecule: long non-coding RNA, 677 nt
Filed under: Monodelphis domestica (gray short-tailed opossum)
Lineage: Eukaryota; Metazoa; Chordata; Mammalia; Didelphimorphia; Didelphidae
Description: lncRNA (ENSMODG00000031178.2)
Source: RNAcentral
AAAAAAAAACAUAACAAAGUCCAUUUGGAAGAACAAAAGAUCAAGGAUAUCCAGGGAAAUAAUGAAAAAAAUGAGAAGGAAGGUAGCCUUGCAGUCCCAGAAUUCAAACUAUACUAUAAAGCAGUGGUCAUCAAAAUAAUAUGGCAAUGGCUAAGAGACAGAAAGGAGGAUCAGUGGAGUAGGCUUGGGAUUCAUCUCUUCUCCACAGAUCUGACAGGUUAGAUACAAGCAAAGGAAAGAUGACUAGCUAAUGGAAAUAGACUUCAGUAUGCUAAUGGAAGCAAUGUCCACAUGAGAAGUAAAGUAAAAUACAUCAUUAUCUUCCAUCACUCUACUCUUCUAUUCAUUUGUGUGAAGUAAGAAGGAGAAGACUAGCUGGAUGGAGAGGAGAUUGGAGAACAUCACAAUUCAAGAGUAAUGGAUGGAUGUUUCAGAGAGACCACUUUUGGCUAAAAUGAAAAAAUACAUAAAAAUUAAAGCUAUAUAAAAAUAACUAACUUAAGGAGGUAAUGACUUCCUCAUCAAUGGACAUCUUUAUUUCUUUAUUUUACAUGUAAUUUAAAUUGCCCUUCCCCAGCCUCUUCUCACUGAACAAUAAUAACAGUAGCAGCAGUAACAACAAAAGAAACUCUCAUCAUUAACUUGUAUAAUUUGGCAAAAAUAAAUUCACAUUGGCU